CUACGGGAGGCAGCAGUGGGGAAUAUUGGGCAAUGGGCGCAAGCCUGACCCAGCAACGCCGCGUGAGGGAAGAAGGUUUUCGGAUUGUAAACCUCUGUCCUUGGGGACGAAGAAGUGACGGUACCCAAGGAGGAAGCUCCGGCUAACUACGUGCCAGCAGCCGCGGUAAUACGUAGGGAGCAAGCGUUGUCCGGAAUUACUGGGCGUAAAGGGUGCGUAGGCGGCAUAUUAAGUCAGGUGUGAAAUACUCGGGCUCAACCCGGGGGCUGCAUUUGAAACUGAUAUGCUUGAGUGUGAGAGAGGAAAGUGGAAUUCCUAGUGUAGCGGUGGAAUGCGUAGAUAUUAGGAGGAACACCAGUGGCGAAGGCGACUUUCUGGCUCAUAACUGACGCUGAGGCACGAAAGCGUGGGGAGCAAACAGGAUUAGAUACCCUAGUAGUC
This 441-nucleotide ribosomal RNA is filed under the name uncultured bacterium. RNAcentral describes it as "partial 16S ribosomal RNA". It matches the Rfam family "Bacterial small subunit ribosomal RNA", at positions 339 to 795 of the family's 1533-position model. The record is from RNAcentral.